This 253-nucleotide ribosomal RNA is filed under the name uncultured bacterium. RNAcentral's name for it is "partial 16S ribosomal RNA". It matches the Rfam family "Bacterial small subunit ribosomal RNA", at positions 524 to 776 of the family's 1533-position model. The record is from RNAcentral.
UACGUAGGAGGCAAGCGUUGUCCGGAGUUACUGGGCGUAAAGCGCACGCAGGCGGUCUUGUCAGUCUGUAGGGACAGGGCACAGCUUAACUGUGUCAGGCUUAUGGAAACUGCAAGACUUGAGGGCUUCAGAGGGAUGGGGAAUUCCGGGUGGAGUGGUGAAAUGCGUAGAGAUCCGGAAGAACACCAAAGGCGAAGGCACCAUCCUGGGGAGUCACUGGCGCUCGGGUGCGAAAGCGUGGGGAGCGAUCCGG